RNAcentral lists this long non-coding RNA (864 nucleotides) under Nicotiana tabacum (common tobacco). RNAcentral describes it as "long non-coding RNA (NTAB_LNC016168)". The record is from RNAcentral. Lineage: Eukaryota; Viridiplantae; Streptophyta; Magnoliopsida; Solanales; Solanaceae.
GGGUAGAAUAAAUAUAGCACAAGUCUCAAGGGAAGUGGUCUUUGAACCAGUUUUACCCCCAGCAUCACAAGUUUUAAUAAAAGAAGUUGUAUCCCCAGCAGACAGAACAAAGGGAUGACAUUUGUGCUCAGAAAAGCAAAGAGCCAUUAUCAUCCCCAGCAGCUUCCAGAAGAAUGAAGCAUCGAUUUGAAGGGAUAAAACUCCCCAGCAGCGUUAUCCUCAACAACGUUAUCCCAAGAAGAUAACACUUUUAUCCCCAGCAGUGUUGAAAAAACCAAAAAAAAAAUUGAAUUUGAAGGAGGGGAAGAAAGGAGACUCCCACAGUGGUAUUAUCCUCAGCAAGCAAGAACAAAGCAGUGCAAAGGAAAAAGAAAAGAAAAGAAGAAAUUACGAAGGUAAGUUUCUCAAAUCAUUGAUCUUUACAUUUUCCUCCUAGGAUAAAAGUCCUAAUCUGAUGAAUUUCCUUUCCGAUACAAUCUUGGUCCGAUGAAAUUUUUCUCCCAAGAUAAGAUAUCAAAUCUUAGUCCGAUGAAUUUUUCUCCUAAGAUAUCAAAUCUUAGUCCGAUGAAUCUUUCUCCUAAGAUAGAAAUCUUAGUCCGAUGAAAUUUUCUCCUAAGAUAUCAAAUCUUAGUCCGAUGAAUCUUUCUCCUAAGAUCACAACAAAAUGGACCUAGUUUGACGAUUUAUCUCCUAGAGUCACAAUCUUGGUCCGAUGGAAUUUUCUCCUAAGAUAUCAAAUCUUAGUCCGAUGAAUCUUUCUCCUAAGAUCACAACAAAAUGGACCUAGUUUGACGAUUUAUCUCCUAGAGUCAAAAUCUUGGUCUGAUGGAAUUUUUCUCCCAAGAUAAUAUAAUAAAAUCUUAG